UCCUCUGUCAUUACGUCACCGCCUCCCCGGCGUGAAAUAAGGCGCGCGCGACUUCGUGGCGCAUGCGCGGCCCUGCCCCCUCGGCGCGCAGAAGCGAAAGGAUGACCCUCUGUGCGUGGCCCGCCCACCUCGCCGUCUUUGUGCCGAAGAAAAGCUUCACGCAUGCGCAGCAGCGUGCAGGUGCUGGAACUGCAGUCCCGCUAAGGGGCGCUAGAGGCGCUCGGAUGGCUCUGGCGGAUCACCAGCUACCGCUUCUCGACCCACCUUCAGAUAUUUAAACUUCCAACUUACUUCCUUUCCCCUAAUGUCAGCGGGCGGGAGUUGAUGUCCUUCCUUAUCUCCACUAAUAAAAGAGUAACAUGCUAAUUGACCAUACAUUCGUGACACCCACCAGCCAAUCAGGAAUGAGUAUGCAAAUUAACCCAACAAAGAUGGUAGGUUAAUUUGCAUAUGCAGGCA
Long non-coding RNA from Pipistrellus kuhlii (Kuhl's pipistrelle), 459 nucleotides. RefSeq lists it as uncharacterized. The record is from RefSeq and is a predicted model, not a curated record. NCBI's taxonomy places the organism in Eukaryota, Metazoa, Chordata, Mammalia, Chiroptera, Vespertilionidae. The transcript is spliced from 3 exons.